CACAGGCUCUCGUGGCCCUUCUUUACUCCUCGGGUUUCAACAUCAACCCGGAGUCCGCGACCACGCUGGGCUUUGGGUAACUAGGUUGUGUUCAUCAUCCUGGAACAAGUUCCUUUAUUUGUCCCACGUGUCUGUGUUGGUUCCUUAGUGCUUCCCGGAGUUGAUUUCCUGACUCAGAGUUUACGCGUGGCACUCAAGGUCCAUAAUCAGGAAAGGGAACGACUCAUUGGGACCUUUUUUAAACUUGUCUGUAAAAUGAAGAGUUGGAUUAGAUACUUUCUAAGGUCCUCUCCAGCUCAAAAAUAGGAUUCUUAUUUCCAUCUCUUGACACUCGUUGUUUUUUAAAGUGCUGCUUUUACGCAGUUAUGAUAUAAGUGUGGUAGAUAUCCCCAGUGUCGAAUUUCAGUGUGUCCACACCGCAUCCAGCUGAUUAAGGCUAGACUGGCUUGCGGUGGCGUGGUCUUGGUAUUCCAGGAAUAACUCACUCAGUAGCAGAAACUAGAAUGGAGUUUCCGAAUCUUAAGCGUAUAUGUGUGCAUCUCAUGCUCAUACUAACGUCAUGAUGAAAUGCGUGAUUAUUACACACGUCCCAUAGCUCAAAAUCAGCUUGAUUACUCUUCAUGUUACUUAUUUGUGUAUUGAUAAGGUCAUAAAGAUAUUUGACCAAUAUUUUGCCUUUCUUCCAAGGACAAUUUUACUGUCAUUGACAUUGCCGUUCUCAGUGCGGAAUAAAAAUAAAUUGCUUGUCUUUGAUCUGCACAUUCAUCUCGUACACAUUUUCCAGCAGAGAGGGACGUCUCAACAUAGAGAAUGGGCUUGGUCUGCUUCCAAACCAUAUCCUGUGAAACUGACUUGGGUUUCAUAAUUUCAAACAGAGCGAAAAAUAGGAUGCAUCUUAUCUUCGCUAUUCGGAGAAAACUAAAUUUGCUAAUCCUCUGCGUAGCAGAGUUAAAUGGAAAGAUUUGGACUUGGAGAAAUUCUGAUUCUCGUGUCUUUUCAAUCUCCUCCUCCACUGUGUCCCUGACAUUUUAAGUGACCUGAAGGAAGUCACGUAAAUUCAUCAUUUUCCUUUAGCAAAUGAGUGUUACUCCUGAGCCUCUUGGGGGUUGCCUAAGUCGUUCAUUUGUCAAAAGCCUUGUGCAUAAAGAGGUCUCUGAAAUUGCAUUUAUUUUAUUAUCAAUUUUGAAAAAAAAAAAAAUCUGACCUAGAAUCCCAGGCCCUUUCACAGUGCUGUUUUAUAUAUUCCAUGAGCUUUUAUUUCUUCCCUCCACCAGCAACUCCUACCCCCCCCCCCCCGCCCCCAAGAACGAUAACCUGUGUUAGAGGAAAAGGCCAGUGUGGAAGCGCUGUGAAAACUAUAAGAUGUCCCACAAGACCAAGCCUGUCUUAGUAUUACUAACCCCCGAGUACGGUGUAAUUACUACAUGAAAGGUAAUAAUGGCUUUUAGAAAUAAAAUUGGUCAUCUUGGGCGAAGUUCUCCCUGGAAGGAAGUGUCUGGCCACAAUAUCUCCUUGGAAAACCAUACCUUUGAAUAAAAUAGGGGGUAUCACUUUUAAAAUAAAUAUCUAGCCUUGUGAUCAACUUUAGUUAUGCUCAGGGGGCUUGGAUACAGCUUUACCAUUCCUUAAACCUCAGUUCAGUGGCCUAGAAUCCACAUUUUUCCAAGUCGAGUGGCAAGGACCUUUGAGAACCUCAGAAGUUACAGGAAGCAUUAGCCAACCUCACAGCACCCUCUUGUCUGCACUGUGGAACCUGUAGGUUUGUGUACAUGUGUCAUCUGAAGAAUAGUAUCAAGUAGGGCCUGUGUGUGGUCACUACUCUGCCUGCCCACCAUUCUUGCAUCUUCAGGAAAAAGCCCUCUUGUUACAAAAUCAAGGAUUUCUUUUCCUUUCUGUGUCUCACUAACCUCUCAGGAGGGUUUGAUGCUUGUAGUCACUGCCUGAUCACAAAGCCUCACUUUCCUUGGCUUUGGUGACAAAACAGUCUCCUGUGAAGUUCCUCUGAACUUUACAAAACAGCUGCUUCUCAAGCUCCUUUUCCCCAAACUCCACCUAUUCUUCCUCUGCCACCCCAGGACCACAGAAUAUGCUGCAGCUAACCCCCAAACCUGCACACCCCGUGCAGAUCCCGUACCCCAGAGAGAGGCACCCUCCCAGCUGCCAGCCGCUUGGAUCCCUUGCAGGCCCUCCAACCCAGGGUGCCCCCUGCACUAGUGCCAUCUGCCCUCUGCCCUUCACCAGCCAGGAAUCUCAGAUUCAGGAUUCAAGGAACCCCCACCCUUGCUACCUGACAACACGGGCCCUCACCCGUGACCCUCCUCUCCCAGUCUGUCACCAAGCUCCGCCAAUUCUCUUGAAUUGUCUGCAAGGCAGAUGAAAGACUGAACCAAGGCUCCCUGGAUUCUAGCCCAGCUCUAGGCUUUUGGGAAGGGUCUGAGUGUGAGCCGAUUUUCUCUUUGAACUUGAUUUCCUGAUCUUUCAGUAGAAAAAUGGCACCUAUAUUAUAGGACUUGGUGGGGGGGGUCAAAUUCGAGAAGACAGUGCAAGCAAAGCGCUGAGUCGAACCUGUGGCACUCAAGACACUCUUCCCCUCUUGUCAUUGGUCCCCUCUCUCCAGCCAAACCCCCAACCACAGGUGUUUCUCAGGGGGUCACUUCAGGCACUUCUCCACUGAGCUCUGGUUCCAUGCAUGUCAGCUCCAGCAUUCCGUCUGUUCUGCGCCCUGCAGUCAGAGAUCUUUUUAAACCACAGAGAUGCCUGCACACUUCCCUGCUUCCUUAGUGUCCUCUGUUUACUUUCCCCCGCUGUUCAGAUACAGUCCCACUCCUUCGCCCCGUGUGUGACCCCCCUCACCUGCUCCUCCAGCUUCAUCUCAGGCCUCUUCCCGUUUGUACCCUCUGCUUCAGCUGUGCUGAAAUUCCAGCCCCUGGCAUGCGCCACGCUCUUUCUUUCCUCACGAGCCCCCCUCGUGCCCUUCUCGGUGUCCAGUGUAGGAACAUUCCUUUGUCUUUCUCCCUCACCUGGCAGAUCCCGUGCGUCCUUCUUUGUCCUUCUCUGCAGUUUCAGUUUGUGCCCCUGCUGCAGGCUCUCAUGGUGCCUGCAUUCAUCAGAGCACAGGUCUUGUGGUUCUGGGAGUUUUAAAAGCAAUCUCUCUCCCGAGAUUGUUUGGUCAGCUUCUCUUCCCUGCACUAACCUUUGUUUUAUACAGAGCAGCCUUAUCUUCUGCAGAAUAAACAGCCUCCGGGGGUGGGGAACAUGUUGGCAGCCUUGGUCCCUUCUCUGGGGUCUCCUGGAUGAAAUUGCUAAAGAUGGAUCUCCCUGGUGUCCCCAGGGGCACAGGUAGCCAGCUCCCAGGGACAUAGAUCCCCUGUGCCCCUGAAAUUUAAGUAGCUUUUGUUAUACCUGUCAAGUCUGAUAUUUUUGUCAUUUUUUUCUCUCUUGCAAAUGAGGAAAGUAAGGAGCAGAAACGUUAAGUGACUUCAAAUCAUUUAUCUAAGGGGAAGACAGUUCUCUUGCCAUUGGUUCAUAUCAUUAGCAAGGAGUGGGGGAGGCUUCAAUGAGUAAAGCAGGCUGGCAAAUUUGAGGAGCCUGGAACACCCCUGUUCUGAGGAGCAGGUUCAGACCUGAGCAACUUCUUUGGGCCCAGGAGAUGGGGAAACGAAGAGGCAGAAAUGCCAGAGCGUCCAGCACUGAAAAUUAAAAUGAUGGCACCAAAUGCAACAGCCUUUUCAGAAGAAAACAGAUUAGUCUUUUCAACAUUAGCAGCACAUGUACAGAAUAGUGCUGACACAAUAUGUUGAAAGCACCAGUGUUUAAAAGGUGUUUUCCUCAAGAGAGUACCUUUAUAUGCUUUAAAUAAUGCUUAAGUGUAAAAUAAAAGUGAUGCUUGAACCUGCACAUUGGGUAUUUUGCUUAAAAACCCUCAAACUUGAUUUGAGGACAAACUCUGCAUUUUUUAUUGCUUAACUAGAAGGGAAUAUUUUAGCUAUUUUUCAGCUCUGUUAAACAUCAGCUCUGACUAAAAAAGUGUCUGCCUAGGUGGGUGUUGAUUAAUGCUGCUAAGAACACUUUGUGUAGGAUUUUAUGCUAAUUACCCUUUAUACCCUAACCCGUGUCAAUUUUAACAAUCUAAAUUAGCAUUUUCUCCCAGGACUCAGAAAUGUGAGAAUUGUGAAAUUGGCUCAGUAAGCUGAGUUAGCAGUGAGAAAAUUGAGAUGUUCUGUAUUUCUGUAUUAACAUCUGCUGCUUGUUCAAAGCGUGAUCCUUUCAAAAUGAUGACGAUAUUGGGAAAAAAAUAAGGAGAGAUGGGAGAGUUGCCGCAUACUUUAUAUUUUUUAAAAAAAUUGUAAUAUUUGACAUUGUCAUCUACAAUUCACAGUAAGCAUGGCCGGAAUAAUGGAUUUUUUGAUGUACAGUGUUUGAGAAGUUGAUUGCAUUAUUAUAGAUACAGAUAUUUUAGCUUCUUUGUUAUUUUGGCACCUGUAUAAUAGAACAUACUCUAAAAGAUGCUUGGUUAUAGAAAAAACAUCAGGUUAAGUCCCAGUAAAAAUUAACUUUCAUUUUGUUUAUUUUUGAGGCAGCUUAAAUAGGAAACACAGGCAUUUCCAGAUGGCUUUUCUUUAAAAUAGAAUACCAUAUCUCUCCAAGGAGGAAGGUUUAUAAUAAACUUCCAGCUCAUAGAAUGGGAUAUGGACCGAGAUAUGUAACAAUCAGAUGCGGGAGUUGUAAAUUGCAUGGGGAAGAAUCUUUAUCCAUCACUUGAAAGAUCUCUCCCAGGUUUGCGAAAGACCCAGGUCCAGGUCGUUGUCAUUUUCAUAAUCUGUACCACCCAAGAGACUGGGUUAAUAUGACACCUUAUUAGAAGGAAAUCUUUUGGAGUUCCCAUCGUGGGUCAGCAGAAACGAAUCUGACUAGUAUCCGUGAGGAUGCAAGUUCGGUCCCUGGCCUCACUCAGUGGGUUAAAGAUCCAGCGUUGCCAUGAGCUAUGGUGUAGGUCACAGAGGUGGCUUAGAUCUGGUGUCGCUGUGGCUGUGGUGCAGACCAGUGGCUGCAGCUCUAAUUCGACCCCUAGUCUGGGAACUUCC
RNAcentral lists this long non-coding RNA (5084 nucleotides) under Sus scrofa (pig). RNAcentral's name for it is "lncRNA (ENSSSCG00000057760.1)". The record is from RNAcentral. Lineage: Eukaryota; Metazoa; Chordata; Mammalia; Artiodactyla; Suidae.